This 2815-nucleotide long non-coding RNA is filed under the name Homo sapiens (human). RNAcentral's name for it is "HSALNT0310120". The record is from RNAcentral. Lineage: Eukaryota; Metazoa; Chordata; Mammalia; Primates; Hominidae.
UUUAGCUUAUUGUCUAUUUCCAAUCAAUACAUUCUAGAGAGUCUAUUCACAGGAAAACCUGAUAUAUAUAUCGCAUUUCCUGACUUCACUAUGCACAGACCAUAUUUCUUCUUGACAUGUUACUAUUUGUUAAUUACUUACUAUUAUUCUUACACAUCACUCUUUCGUAAUUUCUAAUCUUUCUCUCUUAUAGGACCCAGUGGCUGUCUUGAUGUCUCACAGCAGGAAGAGACUCUCUCAAAUAGGUGUACACAUGGGGAGAGAGAGAGCAAGGAGACUGAGAUACAAUCAGCCACCAGCAAGUUGUCUUGAUUUUCUGAAUGGAGCGUGGUAGCAUGUUAUAGAGUCCAAGGAAUUUGCCAAAUCCGUGUGAGAAGAUUUGCCUCUCACAUGUGAGAGAAUUUUUUGAGAAAAAAAAGAUCCUGACCCCGUCCCUCUGCCACCACCCGAGUGAGGAAGACUGACAGAGCACAUUGGCUUGCUGUGGAGACAAGAUCAGGGAAAGCGCCCCUGAAAAGAAAGCAUUUUGGAAGUCCUGAAGGUGGAGAAGGAGAUUUAGAGGAAGAGUGAUAAAUCAGAAGUCUUCGUCCAAGAAUUAGCUUUGCACCAUCUACAGACCUAAGCAGCUGCAGUUCUGGAGGCUGGGAAGUCCAAGAUCAAGGCAUUGACAGGUUCACCUUGUGGUGAGUGUCCAACUACUGCUGGUAAAAAGUGCCUUGAAUGCUGCAUACUUUGGAGGUGUGAGCAGAAGAAAUCUGUGCCGAAAGAAUAGCAGAACUUAGAUAAAUCACAAACAUCCAGUAUUUUCCAAUAUUGGUUUCUCCUUUCCUCCAUUUUCCCUUCCUGGAAGACUCUACUGGAUGUCUUAGUGUACCUCAGAGGUGAGUUUCUCUGUAAAGUCUUCAGCAAUCUUCUGCGCACAGAACUAUCCUCUUUCCCUUCAUUCUCCAAUGGCAUUUUAUGCAUGCUUUUAUUAUAACAUUUAUUAUGCUUUAAGAUGAGAGAGGAUAAGUAUCAGUUUUUACUGCCUGUAUCAAAAUGUGUCUUCUUGAGAACAUAGUAUGUUACUUACUUUUAAACCUCCUCACCUAACAGCACCUGACUCAGAGUGAGAUUUGGGGUUUACUCAGUCAAUAUUUGUAGUAUUUGUUGGUUAAAUGAUAGGCCACCAGAAUGCUGUCUGGAGUAUGUAACUACUUCUGCAUGGUGAUAGUAGCACACAAAAUAUGAAAUGGAAAUUAAAACAUUUCAAAACCUUUCCACCUCUAACUCACUGAGGUAAACAAUUUAAUACCAUGAUGUUCCCUUUCACAAUGUUUUCCAUAUUGUAUUAGUUAACGAUUGCGGUGUAGCAAAUUUCUCAGGGGCUUAGCCUUCACAAAAACAAUAAAUAUUUAUUAUACCGCAGUUUUAGAAGGACAGGAAUCCAGGAGCAGCUUGGCUGGGUUGUUCAGGCUCAGUCUCUCAUGUGGUUGCCAUUAAAAUGUUGACUGGGGCUGCAGGGUUUAACUAGAGCAAGAGAAUCUGCUUCUUAUGUCACUGUUGGCUGAGGCAUUAGCUUCUCACUGGGCUGGUUCUCAGUGGGAGGCCUCAGUUCCUUUCCACGUAAAACUCUCCACACAGCUGCUUGAGAGGCCUCACAACAUGACGCCUGGUUUCCCCCAGAAAAGCCAGUUCAGUAAAAAGAGCCAGGCAUAAACUGCAGUCACAUGCCAUCACUUCUGCUGUGUGGUCUUGGUCCCGAGACCAACUCUAAUACCAUGCAUUAUACAAGGGUAUGAGUAUCAAGAGUCAGGGGCCACUGGGGGCCAUCUUGGAGGCUGGCUACCAUCCAUAUAGGGUUUUUGGUUUUUAUAAAAAAUCUAAUGAUGCUAUAUACAUUUAUUUGCAACAUUUUUUCACAUGUAAAUACUUCACUACCCUUUCUCCAGGUUGGUAGAUAUGAAUGGAACUAAGUCAUUCUUUACAUUGUAGCUGACGUUAUAAUACAUUUAUUUCAGACCUAUUAAUUCUCAUUGUUUUCUAUUUCAAUAAAGUAAUACAUAUUCUUGCAUAUUUAUUUUCAUUUUAUAGAGGCUACCAAAAGUAAACAUACUUGAUCAAAAAUAUCAAAAAUAGCAUUUUGUUUUUUCUAUUUCCAUAGACAUUACUACAUUUCAAAAGAGUGACAAUAUUUAUUUUGCACCAACUAUGCACAAAAGUACUUGUUUUCCCAUAUCCUCUUCAGCACUGGAUAAUUUUUUAUAUACAUUUUGUCAUUUUGAUGUGCAAGAGAAAUCUCUCAUUUUUCAUUUAAUAUGCUUAUUUCACUAUUAGUGAGCUUGAGCACUUAAUGUAUGUAUUGACUUUAUGCCUUAUCUUUUCUGAAUAUUGUCUACUUGUAACCUUUCCUUCUCUUUUUCUCAUCAAUUUCUAUGGAGCGUUUGGUAUUUGCACACAGCAAGAAAUAUAAUUUUAAUUAUUUUUGCUCUGAAAAAUUUAUAGUAUAGUCUCCUUAAAAGAAUAUUAGCAUCUAUUUCAUCACCUUUUUGAGUUGAUAUACCUAAAAGUCUACCAGGUUUCAUAGGGAUCAAACAUAUACAGAAAUAUUUUAUGUCUUAUUUCUAGGGAACUUAAGAUUGGAUGAGAACGUGGCUAUUGACAUUACUAAGCUGAUUCACCUACCCCAGAAAGUGGCAAAUUAAGCAGUCUGUUGACUUUAAGAUUACCUUGGAGAUAGAUCACAGAAUUUAAAAUGCAGUCACUCAGAAAGCAAAAUUGCUUGGGAAUAAAAGGCAAUAAUUACUAUCACUCUUUCUGCAACUAGUGAAAUAUA